Molecule: ribosomal RNA, 503 nt
Filed under: uncultured bacterium
Lineage: Bacteria
Description: bacterial SSU rRNA
Rfam family: Bacterial small subunit ribosomal RNA
Source: RNAcentral
GUGAAAGCCCUGGGCUCAACCUGGGAACUGCAUUGGAUACUGGCAAGCUAGAGUGCGGUAGAGGGUGGUGGAAUUCCCGGUGUAGCAGUGAAAUGCGUAGAGAUCGGGAGGAACAUCUGUGGCGAAGGCGACCGCCUGGACCAGCACUGACACUGAGGCACGAAAGCGUGGGGAGCAAACAGGAUUAGAUACCCUGGUAGUCCACGCCCUAAACGAUGCGAACUGGAUGUUGGGUUCAACUAGGAACUCAGUAUCGAAGCUAACGCGUUAAGUUCGCCGCCUGGGGAGUACGGUCGCAAGACUGAAACUCAAAGGAAUUGACGGGGGCCCGCACAAGCGGUGGAGUAUGUGGUUUAAUUCGAUGCAACGCGCAGAACCUUACCUGGCCUUGACAUCCACGGAACUUUCCGGAGAUGGAUUGGUGCCUUCGGGAANCGUGAGACAGGUGCUGCAUGGCUGUCGUCAGCUCGUGUCGUGANAUGUUGGGUUAAGUCCCGCAACGA